This 3221-nucleotide long non-coding RNA is filed under the name Homo sapiens (human). RNAcentral's name for it is "HSALNT0121858". Lineage: Eukaryota; Metazoa; Chordata; Mammalia; Primates; Hominidae. The record is from RNAcentral.
CUCAGCAGUACAAAAUAGAUCCAUUUAGCUCAUCAGCGUUUUACACAUUUAUAAAUUUUAUAAAAUAUGAAUACCAAUUUCACAGCAUUUUCUGAUAAUGCCUCACUAGAGAAUAAAAUUUCUAUUUUUGGAAAAAACCAACAACAACUUUUGAAGCUGACCUGGUUUGCCAUGUUUAUUUCGGGUCUGUGGUUAUGCUUAUCUCUGAUUCCAGAGUGAAGGGAGGUGGGCAGGGCGUGGGUGUCCAUUAAGGCACCUCUGUCCUUCCUGCAGGCCAAAUCCUGCCCUGGCUUGUCCUGUGUCAAGGGACAAUGUCCUGCUUUACAAAGUCAAGGCUGUGCCCAUAGAAAGCCUUGUAAUCUUUUGGUUUCUCCGUUUCCUUAUGAGUGAUGCACAGGCUCUGAUGAUUGUCAUCCUCUUCACAGCCUCCAUGAAUCUCCUGAUGAACUCCCUCAGAAGGUGGAAGGAGCACCUGACACCGACCCGAGAUCAGCAGCAGCUACGCCCACGCUGUGGGCAGUUAAGAGGCAGCCAGUGGUACCAGUCGUGAGCGAUCAGAUUUGAGGACUCAGGAUUCUGGUUUCCUGAGUGUCAUGGACCUGCGGGCUGCAGAAAUGACAGCGACAGGUCUUCAGGCAGGUGCCACAGCACCCACACACUGCCAGCAUUUUGUGCAAAAUACCCAAAGCCACAUCACCAGAUCUGGGCUCUCCUAGCUUCCCUUUGCUAAAAUGCUGGCCAAAGAGCUUAACGAGCCACUCAGGGGCACAAGAUAGGUGAAACCUGCAUGUUUUGUUUGUUAAACUAUUUGCCACAUGGCACAAGAAAAUAACAAAAAAUAAACAAAAGGAAUAACUGCAGCAUCAUGGUUUUGUUAAGAUGUCCCAAAGCUGAUCAGGGCUUCCUGUUGAAAUCUAAAUGAGACUCUUCCUAGGUGGCUUACAUUCAGUCAGCUGUGGCUCUGUGCAAAGAAAACCAGUUUCCCUUGCUCAGAAAUUUGGAGCCACUGAUAAGAGAAGAAAAGUGUGAUUCCACAUGGAGGGUCAUGAUACAAUCUGAUCUCUGACCCCGUGGAGGUGAAGGGGCUUGUUCUGCAUGCCAGGCUGAGGACUCUCGGGACUGAGGCAUUCAGAGUCGCAGCUUUAAAUCAUAAGGGUUCCCUGCCCAUUUCAUCACAAGUCAGCAGCAUCCAAAGAGUGGCGUUGAAGAAAAUCUCAUCACCGUGGGCUCAGUUUAGAUUGCUAGUCGGCUCAGAAAGCUACCUGCAAUUGCGUUUCCAGGAUGCACCACAAAUACUCUCCACAUGAGGGAGAACAUCAGUGGAUGAAACUCAGCAUGCUUAGUGCGGGGCCAAGUCCUCUAACAAAGGACACAGCGGUUAACCUGCAUUUCGAGGACAGGCACUGUCAAGCCCUCAUCAGGGAUCCAUCCAGAGAACUUUGGUAAUUCUUGCAAAAUCCCUGUAUCACACAAUUUCCUUCCUUAAUGUGAUGAAGUGUAACGGACACAUCUAUAAAGCUUCUUCAGUCCUGCAAUGCAUAGAUGAGCAGAAGGCCACAAAGCCAGGUCAUAGCACUCUCUACCAUCAGAAUGGAGCCUGCCUGAAUGUGAGCUCAGUGAGAGGCAGAUUCCAUUCUUGGGCCCGUCCACGGUGACUUGUCUGCUCUGCUCCAUCAUCCACUUAUUCACAAGUUCUGGGGCAACAAAGGGCACGUUUUGUUUCAUCUUGUGCCAAACCCUCGAUGUGUACUCACUCACUCUACCUCAUCUCAAGAACUUCAGGGCUGGGAGUGCAUUUGGAGAGAAGGCAUGUGCAAUAUCUGGAAGCCUUAGCACAGGUGGGUUAUACUGAUGCUCUAUAGCCAAACUAUAGGAACUUGGGUUCUAAGGCCAGCAGGCCCAGGUGUCACCCCAAUGGCUCCCUUCAACAGCAGCAUAAAUAAGUCAUGUCAGAAGAACUCACAUUAGCCAUCUCCAGGACUCAUUUCCCUCUCAACAGCAGGAGCUCCUGCAGUCAGAACAGCGGUAAUUUUCAAAUCAGGCAUGUGGUGAUGCAGCAGGAAAGUGCCUGCAUCCCAGGUGUCCCAGCAGCUUUCUGGAGACCUCUAAUACCCACAUCUGCACCACAAAACUGCACAGCAUUGAGUGAUACCAAUCUUCUUAUACAUAUAGGUAAGUGGUAAUAGAAUGCCUCAACAGCAGACCACCCAGGAACCAAAGACAUACUGGAUUUUCAAGUCAGAAGAAUGCUUAGAGAUCAUCUGACCCAAUAGCCAUAUUUUACAGUAAGAUGCAGAAGCCAGUGUCCACAGUGCUAAAGCCACUGGUCCAAGGUGAAAGAAUUUCAAACCCAUAAAUACCUCCAAGAAGCUUCCACUGGGACCCUAUGAUUUUAGUAAAAUUAUCAACAUUCAUGACCUAUGUCUACUGAUCUUAGCGUCUUCUCAGUAGGCAAUUAUUCUUUCUCACAUCAAUUUGCAGUUGCUAUAUUAUCAGCAUCCUUGGUAAAUCCAUCUUGUGUUCUGGGUGAAGACUAACAGAUUCUUCCUUCUUGGACUCUGUCAUUCACUCUCAUCCCUCAUAACAUCUGGCCACUGCUCUAAACACAGUGGCCUUUGAGAAAUGCUGCUGAAUUCUGACUAAGAAAGAGGAGAACUUUCAAAUACAAGAAAGUGAACAUUAUAGAGCUUACCACUCAAGAUGGUUUUCUACAAAUGCGGACAUGGGGCUGAUCUGCACCGUGUAAGUAUCAUUUGCCGAGUACUCAAAGAGUCCAUAGUAAGGGUUGAAGAGCUCCUGAGACAGAAGGAAGAAGAACUCCCGCGAGGGGCCACUGUAGUCCAGGCUGCAAAGAAAGCAGAGGUCCAGGAAGCUCAUUCUGUGCCCGGAGGUGGGGGGACCUGUUUGCACCCAGAUUCUAGUGUGCCCUUUCAGAGUUGGGUGCUGGGGAAAGCAGAGAGCAGCCUCUGCUCUUUGGAGUGAAUGCCAAUGGCAGCAUCAAUUUGCUGUAGAAAAUGAGGAUGCAGUAAUUGGUUUGGAGAUGUUUCUUAACCAGAUGUCCAUGAAUAAACUCUUAUGGCAGCUUUCCUUAGUGUUUUCUUUUGAUCAUCUAACACCUCUGAGCUAAAACACACAGCUGGCCCAUUGAAUACAAGGCCUUUGUUGUGGGACACAUAAAAGAAUUUCCUGCAACAGUGAAUGUGUGCAUGCAUGUGUGUGUG